UGGGAUGUUGAUGGUGAAACCCUGGGACCUUCGGGCCAGGGGCUAAAAGAGGAUCCUGCGUCUGAUUAGCUAGUUGGUGAGGUAACGGCCCACCAAGGCAUCGAUCAGUAGCCGGCCUGAGAGGGUGAUCGGCCACACUGGAACUGAGACACGGUCCAGACUCCUACGGGAGGCAGCAGUGGGGAAUUUUGCGCAAUGGGCGAAAGCCUGACGCAGCAACGCCGCGUGGGUGAUGAAGGUCUUCGGAUUGUAAAACCCUGUCGCCAGGGACGAAGGGUGGGGUGUUAAUAGCGCUUUACUUUGACGGUACCUGGAAAGGAAGCCCCGGCUAACUCUGUGCCAGCAGCCGC
This 350-nucleotide ribosomal RNA is filed under the name uncultured Holophagae bacterium. RNAcentral's name for it is "bacterial SSU rRNA". It matches the Rfam family "Bacterial small subunit ribosomal RNA", at positions 187 to 518 of the family's 1533-position model. The record is from RNAcentral. Lineage: Bacteria; Pseudomonadati; Acidobacteriota; Holophagae.